This 540-nucleotide unclassified non-coding RNA is filed under the name Hevea brasiliensis (rubber tree). The record is from RNAcentral. Lineage: Eukaryota; Viridiplantae; Streptophyta; Magnoliopsida; Malpighiales; Euphorbiaceae.
AGGAAUCUGCAGGAGGCUACUCAGGAAUGUUGAUGAAUUGAAGGAUUUCAAGAACGAAAUGAAGGAAGAAUUAAACAAGUCUUCUUUGAAUAAUAAUGUUAUUCUGGAAGAAUUGCGAGCCCUCAUAGUCACUCAUGUUGUGGAGAAGAACAAGGGAAGCAGUAGCUCAAGUGAAGGGGGUAGCAGAGUCGAAAAUAAGGGAUUACCAACCAACCCUGUAGUUCCAACAACACUUGUAAUUCAGUCAGUCCCUGUAAUCCGGUCAGUUCCUAUGGAUAAUAGGGGGUUGUUACCUAACCCUAACAUAGAAGGUAUGUCUCAAUUGUUGCCUAAGAUUGAGUUAGUUACUUUGGAAGGUAAAGAACUUAGGGCGUGGUUGAGGAAGUGUGUGAAGUAUUUUGAGGUGUAUAAGGUGCGUAAGGAUUAAAGGAAGCAAUUAGUAAGCCUUUCCAUAAUUGGGAUAAGGGGAAAAUCAUUCUUGGGAACAAUUUAAGAGGGCAAUGUUAUGUAUCAAAUCUGCACUUAAUCCAGAAACAGAGA